GUUUUCACGAAGUGACGGAUAAGAGGAAAAUUUUCACUUUUUUCAAUUUUGAGUUUUUUGCAUUUUUGGACAUCUAUGACUUAUAUCUUGAACCUCAAAAAGUUUCAGAUCACAAUAAUAUCUAAUUACGUUGCUAUGACGACAUGACAUUCAAUAAAAUACCGGGUAAAAGGAUUUCUUGUUUUCACGAAGUGACGGAUAAGCAGCCGUCAAUACGUGAAAACAAACGAAUACGCUUUGCACUCAAGAUUUUUUUCACGAAGUGACGGAAGGCAAAUAUUUACAGUUUGGAACAACCGAAGACCAUAAAAAGAUGCAGUAUAUACAAUAAGCGAUGUUUCAGAGAACAAAUGAGAGAAGUCCUGGAACUGGUACACUUGCUAUUUAACAAUGCUGAUGGUCAGAUACAAUUCCAGGUUAGAUCCAGGGGCCGACACGCUUGUCAGAUGGGUCAUUGAUGAUUCCCUGAACAUCGCAGAUAUGAUCUGAUUUGGUGACAUGACAGUGGAAUUGGUAGUGACUGGAUUUUUAUAGUGUGCCCUGGUUUUGAAAUAUUGAAGUAACCAAACUAGAAACAUCUUCUGAGAACUCUGACUGCAAUUCUAAUGAUGAAACUCUGUCUACACUUGUGAAAAUGUAAAAGGAGUUGGCUCUACCUCGUGGCCUUUCAGGUUCAGUGCUCUCAUCUAACUUUUUCUUUUUCCAGCUGGGUAACUGAUACCAAUUUUAAUUUUCUUUAGAUUUUGACUUCAACAUAAGUUAAGUUUUAAUUUUGAUAGGACUUUCAAAUCUGGUUUCAUUUUUAGAGCAGUGUAUUAUAUAAAGAAACUAUACUGCUUGAACAAUAAGUCUCUGCUCUUAUAGUGAUAUGAUUAUGAACUCCUUUAAAAAUAUUUUAUAUAUACAGUCAAAUAUAAAGUUCAGAAUAGUCACUUAUCUGCUAUACUUACAUGUUAAAAUUGCUAAUACACAUCGUCCACAUAUGGAUGCAGAAUAAUUACCCUUUUUCAUUCAUUUGUUUCGCAUGUUUUCAUUUUGCUUGGUGCUAUCUAAAAAACAGAAAUACUGCAUAUUUCUACAUUUAAAAUAAAACUGAAUGUUAUUAGCUCUAUUGUGCUUAAAUGUAUUGUGUUAAUACUUCAUAUUCUUUAAUAAUAACAAUCAUACAAUUUAGACUGACAUGCAUUGUGAAACUCGAUAGCUGCAUGAUAUAUUACUAGUAAGGAUGUAGGGGUGAAAAUCAUAUUAGGUUUUUGUGAAUUCAUUUUCAAAAGCCAAAUGUGUUAAUACAGACACCCCCCCCCCCCUCUUCCAUGAGGUAAUGUUUUAUUGGUUUAUCAGGGGGUGAGAAUUCUUAAGCUGAUUUUAGUUUUUUUUUCUUUUUAUUUUAAGCUUGAUAUCCCCCAUUCCUGUACAAUAGUUUGAGAGCUCAUUCAAUUUAAUCCCCCAACUCUUUACAGAAUUUUCAUGUCUUUAUUUGUCAUCGCUCACACACCUGGUUCAUGCAGUCGAUGUGUCGUAAUUUUAUUCCAGAAAAUCCAACUGUUAGAUUUUGUUAAUGAGUGUUAUUCAGGAAAGAAGUAAUACAUGAUUAUUUUUAGCUUGAGGUUAAAGAUACACUGCAGCACAUGUUUUUCUGUCUAUUUGUAGUAAGAAUUUUACUCUUUUUUUUUAAUCCCACAAGAUCAAAGAUGUUAUUUUCUAAAACCAUGAAGACGAUUUUUUGUAAAGUUUUCAGAUUUGGAAGAAACUAAGGUGUAUUUUAAUAUAUGUUCCUGUUUUGGACUCUGACAAUAAUUUGCAAUUAAAACAACAAGUGUUUGAUUGGAAAAUGUAUUGAUGAAUGUUAUUUAGCCAAUGACUUGAGAAUGAUGGAAAAAAUACAAAUCUACUUAGUCAUUCGUAUUUUUUAU
This 1913-nucleotide long non-coding RNA is filed under the name Lytechinus variegatus (green sea urchin). RNAcentral's name for it is "uncharacterized LOC121411625". Lineage: Eukaryota; Metazoa; Echinodermata; Echinoidea; Temnopleuroida; Toxopneustidae. The record is from RNAcentral.